AGUGAACGCUGGCGGUAGGCCUGACACAUGCAAGUCGAACGGCAGCACAGUAAGAGCUUGCUCUUACGGGUGGCGAGUGGCGGACGGGUGAGGAAUACAUCGGAAUCUACUUUUUCGUGGGGGAUAACGUAGGGAAACUUACGCUAAUACCGCAUACGACCUACGGGUGAAAGCAGGGGAUCUUCGGACCUUGCGCGAUUGAAUGAGCCGAUGUCGGAUUAGCUAGUUGGCGGGGUAAAGGCCCACCAAGGCGACGAUCCGUAGCCGGGCUGAGAGGAUGCUCCGCCCAACUGGAACUGAGACACGGUACAGGCACCUACGGGAGGCAGCAGUGGGGAAUAUUGGAAAAUGGGCGCAAGCCUGAUCAAGCCAUACCGCGUGGGUGAAGAAGGCCUUCGGGUUGUAAAGCCCUUUUGUUGGGAAAGAAAAGCAGCAGGUUAAUACCCCGCUGUUCUGACGGUACCCAAAGAAUAAGCACCGGCUAACUUCGU
RNAcentral lists this ribosomal RNA (491 nucleotides) under uncultured bacterium. RNAcentral's name for it is "partial 16S ribosomal RNA". It matches the Rfam family "Bacterial small subunit ribosomal RNA", at positions 29 to 506 of the family's 1533-position model. The record is from RNAcentral.